GAUGAACGCUAGCGGCAGGCCUAACACAUGCAAGUCAGGGGUAACAUAGGAAAGCUUGCUUUUCUGAUGACGACCGGCGCACGGGUGCGUAACGCGUAUACAACCUACCUUUUAGCGGGAAUAGCCCAGGGAAACUUGGAUUAAUGCCCCAUAGUAUAUAGACUUCUCCUGAAGUUUAUAUUAAACAUUUAUGGCUAUUAGAUGGGUAUGCGUCCUAUUAGUUAGUUGGUAAGGUAACGGCUUACCAAGGCAGCGAUAGGUAGGGGUCCUGAGAGGGAGAUCCCCACACUGGUACUGAGACACGGACCAGACUCCUACGGGAGGCAGCAGUGAGGAAUAUUGGACAAUGGGCGAGAGCCUGAUCCAGCCAUGCCGCGUGCAGGAAGACUGCCCUAUGGGUUGUAAACUGCUUUUACAGAGGAAGAACCACCCCCACGUGUGGGGGUUUGACGGUACUCUGCGAAUAAGGAUCGGCUAACUCCGUG
RNAcentral lists this ribosomal RNA (485 nucleotides) under uncultured bacterium. Its description in RNAcentral is "bacterial SSU rRNA". It matches the Rfam family "Bacterial small subunit ribosomal RNA", at positions 28 to 507 of the family's 1533-position model. The record is from RNAcentral.